UGACGAGUGGCGGACGGGUGAGUAAUGCUUGGGAACUUGCCUUUGCGAGGGGGAUAACAGUUGGAAACGACUGCUAAUACCGCAUAAUGUCUUCGGACCAAACGGGGCUUCGGCUCCGGCGCAAAGAGAGGCCCAAGUGAGAUUAGCUAGUUGGUAAGGUAACGGCUUACCAAGGCGACGAUCUCUAGCUGUUCUGAGAGGAAGAUCAGCCACACUGGGACUGAGACACGGCCCAGACUCCUACGGGAGGCAGCAGUGGGGAAUAUUGCACAAUGGGGGAAACCCUGAUGCAGCCAUGCCGCGUGUGUGAAGAAGGCCUUCGGGUUGUAAAGCACUUUCAGUUGUGAGGAAAAGUUAGUAGUUAAUACCUGCUAGCCGUGACGUUAACAACAGAAGAAGCACCGGCUAACUCCGUGCCAGCAGCCGCGGUAAUACGGAGGGUGCGAGCGUUAAUCGGAAUUACUGGGCGUAAAGCGCACGCAGGCGGUUUGUUAAGCUAGAUGUGAAAGCCCCGGGCUCAACCUGGGAUGGUCAUUUAGAACUGGCAGACUAGAGUCUUGGAGAGGGGAGUGGAAUUCCAGGUGUAGCGGUGAAAUGCGUAGAUAUCUGGAGGAACAUCAGUGGCGAAGGCGACUCCCUGGCCAAAGACUGACGCUCAUGUGCGAAAGUGUGGGUAGCGAACAGGAUUAGAUACCCUGGUAGUCCACACCGUAAACGCUGUCUACUAGCUGUGUGUGCCUUUAAGGCGUGCGUAGCGAAGCUAACGCGC
RNAcentral lists this ribosomal RNA (769 nucleotides) under marine metagenome. Its description in RNAcentral is "bacterial SSU rRNA". It matches the Rfam family "Bacterial small subunit ribosomal RNA", at positions 89 to 860 of the family's 1533-position model. The record is from RNAcentral.